Molecule: ribosomal RNA, 305 nt
Filed under: uncultured bacterium
Lineage: Bacteria
Description: bacterial SSU rRNA
Rfam family: Bacterial small subunit ribosomal RNA
Source: RNAcentral
CCUACGGGAGGCAGCAGUGAGGAAUAUUGGUCAAUGGCCGGAAGGCUGAACCAGCCAAGUCGCGUGAGGGAAUAAGGCCCUAUGGGUCGUAAACCUCUUUUGUCAGGGAGCAAAGGCGCCCACGUGUGGACGAGAGGAGAGUACCUGAAGAAAAAGCAUCGGCUAACUCCGUGCCAGCAGCCGCGGUAAUACGGAGGAUGCGAGCGUUAUCCGGAUUUAUUGGGUUUAAAGGGUGCGUAGGCGGGAUGCCAAGUCAGCGGUAAAAAUGCGGUGCUCAACGCCGUCGAGCCGUUGAAACUGGCGUU